GACGAACGCUGGCGGCGUGCUUAACACAUGCAAGUCGAACGGAAAGGCCCUGCUUUUGUGGGGUGCUCGAGUGGCGAACGGGUGAGUAACACGUGAGUAACCUGCCCUUGACUUUGGGAUAACUUCAGGAAACUGGGGCUAAUACCGGAUAGGAGCUCCUGCUGCAUGGUGGGGGUUGGAAAGUUUCGGCGGUUGGGGAUGGACUCGCGGCUUAUCAGCUUGUUGGUGGGGUAGUGGCUUACCAAGGCUUUGACGGGUAGCCGGCCUGAGAGGGUGACCGGCCACAUUGGGACUGAGAUACGGCCCAGACGCCUACGGGAGGCAGCAGGGGGGAAUAUUGCACAAUGGGCGGAAGCCUGAUGCAGCAACGCCGCGUGCGGGAUGACGGCCUUCGGGUUGUAAACCGCUUUCGCCUGUGACGAAGCGUGAGUGACGGUAAUGGGUAAAGAAGCACCGGCUAACUACGUG
Molecule: ribosomal RNA, 468 nt
Filed under: uncultured bacterium
Lineage: Bacteria
Description: partial 16S ribosomal RNA
Rfam family: Bacterial small subunit ribosomal RNA
Source: RNAcentral